CAGUCGCCGCGGUAACACGUAUGUCACAAGCGUUAUCCGGAUUUAUUGGGCGUAAAGCGCGUCUAGGUGGUUAUGUAAGUCUGAUGUGAAAAUGCAGGGCUCAACUCUGUAUUGCGUUGGAAACUGUGUAACUAGAGUACUGGAGAGGUAAGCGGAACUACAAGUGUAGAGGUGAAAUUCGUAGAUAUUUGUAGGAAUGCCGAUGGGGAAGCCAGCUUACUGGACAGAUACUGACGCUAAAGCGCGAAAGCGUGGGUAGCAAACAGGAUUAGAUACCCCUGUAGUCCCUGUCUCUUAUACA
Molecule: ribosomal RNA, 301 nt
Filed under: uncultured bacterium
Lineage: Bacteria
Description: partial 16S ribosomal RNA
Rfam family: Bacterial small subunit ribosomal RNA
Source: RNAcentral